RNAcentral lists this ribosomal RNA (253 nucleotides) under uncultured bacterium. RNAcentral's name for it is "partial 16S ribosomal RNA". It matches the Rfam family "Bacterial small subunit ribosomal RNA", at positions 524 to 776 of the family's 1533-position model. The record is from RNAcentral.
UACGGGGGGGGCAAGCGUUGUUCGGAAUUACUGGGCGUAAAGGGCUCGUAGGCGGCCAACUAAGUCAGACGUGAAAUCCCUCGGCUUAACCGGGGAACUGCAUCUGAUACUGGAUGGCUUGAGUUCGGGAGAGGGAUGUGGAAUUCCAGGUGUAGCGGUGAAAUGCGUAGAUAUCUGGAGGAACACCGGUGGCGAAGGCGGCAUCCUGGACCGACACUGACGCUGAGGAGCGAAAGCCAGGGGAGCAAACGGG